Non-coding RNA from Acanthosepion pharaonis, 113 nucleotides. The record is from the annotation of a GenBank genome assembly. Lineage: Eukaryota; Metazoa; Mollusca; Cephalopoda; Sepiida; Sepiidae.
UAUGACCAUAUCACAUUGAAACACCAGUUCUUGUAUAAUCACCAAAGUUAAGCAAUGUUGAGCCUGGUCAGUAUCUAUAUGGGUAACCACUUGGGAAUAUCUGGUACUGUAAG